UGGUGGAGUGAUGUGUCUGGUUAUUUCCGUUAACGACCGAGACCUCGACCUGCUAAAUAGUCUCAUUAAUUCUUCGGGAUUCUUGUUGACUUCUUAGAGGGACUAUCGGUGUGUAGCCGGUGGAAGUUCGGGGCAGUAACA
This 141-nucleotide ribosomal RNA is filed under the name uncultured eukaryote. RNAcentral describes it as "partial 18S ribosomal RNA". It matches the Rfam family "Eukaryotic small subunit ribosomal RNA", at positions 1299 to 1458 of the family's 1831-position model. The record is from RNAcentral.